Myotis myotis is the source of this 514-nucleotide long non-coding RNA. RefSeq lists it as uncharacterized. The record is from RefSeq and is a predicted model, not a curated record. The transcript has 3 exons. NCBI's taxonomy places the organism in Eukaryota, Metazoa, Chordata, Mammalia, Chiroptera, Vespertilionidae.
AGGGGGAGGAGUAGGAGUAGGAGUAGAAGGAAGUGUUCUUGUCUACACAGCAGACCAGAAAGGAAAUACUCUAGAGCGAAGGAGGAAAAAUACACCGAGAAAAGGUGUGGAAAAUUCACCGAAAAAAGGUGAGGGAAAUUCACCUCACGCAAAAGCCCACGGACCAGCUACAGAAUCCGGAUCUAGGGUAUGCUUGUAUAUUCCCAGAGAAUUUUUCCAAACCCGUGUGGAUUCCUGCUAGAAAUAUUAAACUGCAACAGGGAUCCAAGAGAGAAACUAGCCAGACUAAUGAGGACCUUGCGCCUGGAGCCACACCAUGCAGCUGCAGACAAUCAACUACCUCAGCCACAGAGAGCAGCGACUCAGAGCAGUCCACUGAAGAUGAGGAGCAGGAGGAGUACGAGCCGGACAGCAAACAGCCUGGAGACCACCUGGGGCAUGGUAAAGAAGACAGUACAGAUGCCUGACGCCUGAGAACAUCUUUCUUGCCAUGCUAGCAAUAAUCAUCUGUACG